RNAcentral lists this long non-coding RNA (206 nucleotides) under Coccomyxa subellipsoidea. RNAcentral's name for it is "long non-coding RNA (CSUB_LNC000041)". Lineage: Eukaryota; Viridiplantae; Chlorophyta; Trebouxiophyceae; Coccomyxaceae. The record is from RNAcentral.
CGGGCCUUCCGUAUAUGCGCUGUCAGCAUUUUGGGUACACACUCUGUUCGGUCCCCUGCACUGUGUCCAGGUCUUCUGGGGUUGUAUAGAUGCUGACAUGGCAGCGCGUGGUGUCGUCGAUUGCCUGGUUAGGCUCGGCGACGGAAGCUGGCGGAAGCUGCCUCAGAGCGGCGCCCAUUUUGGCGCAAACAUCAUCACCUACAAAA